AGAAGUGCGAAUGCUGACAUAAGUAACGAUAAAGCGGGUGAAAAGCCCGCUCGCCGGAAGACCAAGGGUUCCUGUCCAACGUUAAUCGGGGCAGGGUGAGUCGACCCCUAAGGCGAGGCCGAAAGGCGUAGUCGAUGGGAAACGGGUUAAUAUUCCCGUACUUGGUGUUACUGCGAAGGGGGGACGGAGAAGGCUAUGUUGGCCGGGCGACGGUUGUCCCGGUUUAAGCGUGUAGGCUGGUUUUCCAGGCAAAUCCGGAAAAUCAAGGCUGAGGCGUGAUGACGAGGCACUACGGUGCUGAAGCAACAAAUGCCCUGCUUCCAGGAAAAGCCUCUAAGCAUCAGGUAACAUCAAAUCGUACCCCAAACCGACACAGGUGGUCAGGUAGAGAAUACCAAGGCGCUUGAGAGAACUCGGGUGAAGGAACUAGGCAAAAUGGUGCCGUAACUUCGGGAGAAGGCACGCUGACACGUAGGUGAAGUGAUUUACUCAUGGAGCUGAAGUCAGUCGAAGAUACCAGCUGGCUGCAACUGUUUAUUAAAAACACAGCACUGUGCAAACACGAAAGUGGACGUAUACGGUGUGACGCCUGCCCGGUGCCGGAAGGUUAAUUGAUGGGGUCAGCGCAAGCGAAGCUCCUGAUCGAAGCCCCGGUAAACGGCGGCCGUAACUAUAACGGUCCUAAGGUAGCGAAAUUCCUUGUCGGGUAAGUUCCGACCUGCACGAAUGGCGUAAUGAUGGCCAGGCUGUCUCCACCCGAGACUCAGUGAAAUUGAACUCGCUGUGAAGAUGCAGUGUACCCGCGGCAAGACGGAAAGACCCCGUGAACCUUUACUAUAGCUUGACACUGAACAUUGAGCCUUGAUGUGUAGGAUAGGUGGGAGGCUUUGAAGUGUGGACGCCAGUCUGCAUGGAGCCGACCUUGAAAUACCACCCUUUAAUGUUUGAUGUUCUAACGUGGACCCGUUACCCGGGUUGCGGACAGUGUCUGGUGGGUAGUUUGACUGGGGCGGUCUCCUCCUAAAGAGUAACGGAGGAGCACGAAGGUUGGCUAAUCCUGGUCGGACAUCAGGAGGUUAGUGCAAUGGCAUAAGCCAGCUUGACUGCGAGCGUGACGGCGCGAGCAGGUGCGAAAGCAGGUCAUAGUGAUCCGGUGGUUCUGAAUGGAAGGGCCAUCGCUCAACGGAUAAAAGGUACUCCGGGGAUAACAGGCUGAUACCGCCCAAGAGUUCAUAUCGACGGCGGUGUUUGGCACCUCGAUGUCGGCUCAUCACAUCCUGGGGCUGAAGUAGGUCCCAAGGGUAUGGCUGUUCGCCAUUUAAAGUGGUACGCGAGCUGGGUUUAGAACGUCGUGAGACAGUUCGGUCCCUAUCUGCCGUGGGCGCUGGAGAACUGAGGGGGGCUGCUCCUAGUACGAGAGGACCGGAGUGGACGCAUCACUGGUGUUCGGGUUGUCAUGCCAAUGGCACUGCCCGGUAGCUAAAUGCGGAAGAGAUAAGUGCUGAAAGCAUCUAAGCACGAAACUUGCCCCGAG
Molecule: ribosomal RNA, 1534 nt
Filed under: Salmonella enterica subsp. enterica serovar Enteritidis
Lineage: Bacteria; Pseudomonadati; Pseudomonadota; Gammaproteobacteria; Enterobacterales; Enterobacteriaceae
Description: partial 23S ribosomal RNA
Rfam family: Bacterial large subunit ribosomal RNA
Source: RNAcentral